Molecule: long non-coding RNA, 2394 nt
Organism: Dermochelys coriacea (leatherback sea turtle)
Lineage: Eukaryota; Metazoa; Chordata; Testudines; Dermochelyidae
Exons: 3
Source: RefSeq, a predicted model, not a curated record
AUAGUUUUACUUUGUGUAAUGACUCAUCCAUUCCCAGUCUCUAUUCAAGCCUAAGAAGAGAAUCAUAGAAGAGAAUCAAUCCUCACCUAUGAUUAAUGAAAUAUUUAUUCUCUGCCUAUGAACCAUAUGCUCGCACAGCUUCAUCCUCAGAAAGCAGAGGAAUUUGGUAGUGCAGAUGCUAAGAGGAGCUCUCACUAUUAUUAUGACUUCCUAGAAAGUAUUUCUGGCAUAACUAAACACCUGCUGCUGUACCACUUCAUGCUGUAAUUUUGUCUGCUCUUACAAACACUAUCUUCCUCAAGGAUAAUGCUGCAGGAAGUGGGACUGGUGAUUCAGUAGGUGUCAGUCUUCCCUCUGAGUGAGUACUGACCCAAUGUCUCACCAUGAUGUUAGGGGACAAUGCACUGCUGGAUAUGCUGUUUUGGGUAUGAUAUACACCCAAGAUCCUGGCCAUUUGUUGUCAUUAAAGAUGAUAUGGCACAUUUUUUUUUACAGGAGCAGGUAUGUGAACCCCGAUGUCUUGUCUAAAUUCCAGUGCAGCUAAUUAAGAACAUAAGAACUGCCAUACUGGGUUAGACCAAAGAUCCAUAUAGCCCAGUAUCCUGUCUUCCGACAAUAGCCAAUGACGGGUGCUUCAGAGGGAAUGAACAGAACAGGUAAUCAUCAAGUGAUCCAUCCCCUGCCGCCCAUUCCCAGCUUCUGGCAAAGAGGCUAGGGACAUAAUCCCUUCCCAUACUGACUAAUAAUUACAUUCUGCCUGCCUAAAUUUCUCUUGCAGUUUAGAGUAAUGCCAUUAGAAUCCGACCCAUAGGUAUUUCACCCAAUGGUACAUUGGUGAAUGAUAUAAGAAACUGCACCAGCCACACGGUCACAUAAAUUUCCUUUAAUUCAUGGCAUUUUGUGCUCUUAUGCCAAUGGAUUUGUACUGCAAAUAUCUGAACCACGAGGGGAAUCAGUUGCUGGAUGCCAAAUAUUUGAACCAUGUGGGUGGGGUUUAGAGGGAUGUGUUGUUUUCCAUCAGAACUAAAUAUGGUCUCACAGCGGAAACUACAUUGUGCCCCUAGAAGUACUGACCCUGUGAUCACUGCUGAAGUUUCUGUUGAGUUUGAAGACAUGAAAAUAUAAGUAGUAAUAAUUUUAGAGAAAAAUAUCUGAAAUCUGCCAGUCAGGUUAGAGGUGGCUAGGUGGUAGAGUGGAAAUUAUUUGAAUACCCCUUUUAAAAGAUUUUACAGCAGGUGCCCAGCAGGUGGCAUCAUCUCCUCAAACAGACUAUAAAAAAAUGGAAUGUCAAUCUGCUCUAUUUACCCAAGUGCUGCUUUGUCGGUGGUAUUUUAUGUAAUUCCCCUCGUGUUCUAAUAAACUGGUUAAUGAGAAGAGAAAAGUAAUGGCUUUGGAUCUUUAGGUUGUUAUCCAGAGAAUGAGUAGCAAAGGGUUACUGAAGCAAGCAAUACAUGAUUAAAAUACAAGUGUUAAAAAAAAAAAAAAUCUCAGAGCAAUCUAAUUUCUUAAACUCCAUGUGUUGAUCCAAAAGAAAAUAUGUAAUCGUUUUGUAAUAGCUGGGACUGACACCUGCCAGAAGCCACAACACACAUCUGAACAGUUUCAGUAACACCCAGGAACCACAACCAAGAUUGGGACCCCCAGUGCUAAGUGUUUUAUCAACACAUGAGGUCAGGAUCCCCAUCCCAAAAAGCUAACAAUAAGAUGUCUUUGCACACUUGCAAAUGACUUCUAUCUGUUUGAGUGAACAAGUAAUCCAUCAAAGCAGUCUUGAUGCGACUCUAUCAUAGAACUGCCCCUUUCAGCGACAGAGCGAUGAGUGCACAUGAUUGUGCUUUUUCCCAAUCCACAGGAAGUUUCGCUUUGUAAGAGCAGGAUAUUCUCUAUGGUAAAUACUUGCAGCAUGUAGCAUUGUGUAUAUAAUCUUCCUGACAGCAUUGAUGCUGUUACAAUAUAGAGAGUCCACAUUCAGCCCAGUAAGCAGGUGUAAUUUCAGUGAAGUCAAUAGAGUUUUCCUGCUCCAGGACUGAACUUGGCCCAGAAUUUUUAUGUCUGCUACCUGGAUGAUGAUGUAACAAAGAACAAAAGAGGAAAUACUUGUGGGAGGAAAGGGUUUAUAUUCCAUGUUUUUAGAGUGUUAUGAACUUCUAUAUAUGUGGAAGGAUUUUAGCUAUUUGAAAAGUCCUGUUUCUCUCUGUCCCUUUUCAGCUUGCUGAUUCCCCCCCCCCAAGUAAUACAAUGUUCUGUGAAGCCCAGCUGCUUCAUUAUUAGCGUCACACAUUGUGAAGUGUUGCAUAAAAUAAUUCAUUGUCUCAAGCAUCUUGCUGGUUUUAAUUCAGUACAGUUACAAAUGAUAUACAUUCACCUUAUAUUUAUAUAUACAGAGUAGUUUCA